This 1083-nucleotide long non-coding RNA is filed under the name Cicer arietinum (chickpea). Its description in RNAcentral is "long non-coding RNA (CARI_LNC000074)". The record is from RNAcentral. Lineage: Eukaryota; Viridiplantae; Streptophyta; Magnoliopsida; Fabales; Fabaceae.
AGAGCGCGAGUAUGGGAAAUCUAACCCUCGCUAAUCAUCAUCAUUGUUCUUCUUCUUCUUCGACAUACGCUGGUUCAUCGCUUAAUCCUGGUUCACCUUGCUCCGACCCGCCUCAUGACCCGGAUGGUUACUUGUCCGAUGACCCGGCUCAUGCAUCCACCUUCGCCACCCGCCGCGGUGAGCUCUUUCUCAACAACCAAAAAUAAUAUAUCCUCGCCUUAACUACUUCUCUUUAAAAACCAAAUCAACAAUUUGGAUUAUCAAUCCUAAAAUGCAAUACAUCUAAACCUUAAAAUUUCAAUUCAAUGGACAGUCUCAUAAUAAAUUUCAAUUUAAAGAUUAUCUAAUUGUUAAAUUUAACGGGAAAAAAAUAAUUAUAUCACAACAAAGGAUAACGUAAGAGAGAUAUACAAGGAAGAAUAAGAGGGGUAAAAUAGUGAUUGCAGUAAUAAUAAAAAAGGAACGAACGAUGGAGCGCGUUCUACUAGCAACCCAUGUAAGACGUUAAAGUGAAAUUCCAGAUUUAGCCUCGGAGUGAAUACAAAAAUCAAGAAUUAUUCAAGAAGGUCGUUUUUCUUAAUUAAGCGAAACGCAUGCACUCAUUUUAUUUUUCUCUCUAACUUAUAUUUUUUCUAUCUAUCCAUUUAUAAUAUUGAUAUAUCAAAAUAUAACACUUUGUUGUUAAUUAUUGUUUCCUUUUGGAACCCCUCGUGAUUGCUCUUAAGACCGAGUCAGGCGGCGGAGAAUCGGCAUGACUCGGCGGUGCUCUCACUGCAGCAACAACGGCCACAACUCACGGACAUGUCCGUCGAGAGGUGGCGCCGGGGUGAAAAUCUUCGGUGUUAGGUUAACGGAUGGAUCAAUCAUCCAAAAGAGCGCGAGUAUGGGAAAUCUAACCCUCGCUAAUCAUCAUCAUUGUUCUUCUUCUUCUUCGACAUACGCUGGUUCAUCGCUUAAUCCUGGUUCACCUUGCUCCGACCCGCCUCAUGACCCGGAUGGUUACUUGUCCGAUGACCCGGCUCAUGCAUCCACCUUCGCCACCCGCCGCGGUGAGAAAAAGAAAGGUAUUUUUUUUUUUUUUUC